RNAcentral lists this long non-coding RNA (2606 nucleotides) under Aquilegia coerulea. RNAcentral describes it as "long non-coding RNA (ACOE_LNC002065)". Lineage: Eukaryota; Viridiplantae; Streptophyta; Magnoliopsida; Ranunculales; Ranunculaceae. The record is from RNAcentral.
GUAACUAAAAGUAGAACAUCUGGAAGGAGUUCAGACCAGCGGGAAGGAUUGGUAGAUUUCUUCAUUGGCGGCGGUAGGAAUGAGAAAGACUCGAGAAUUUUAACAAAGGACGACAACACAGCCACCACUGUAAAUUGGGUUUAUAUACCUAGUUUCAGGCCAACAUAGGAAAGAUCCUUAGCUGGAAAGCAAACCAGGCAAGCUAAUAAAGAAGAAAUAUUUGGCAGCAUAGUCUGAAAUGAUGACACGUAUUGAAGUGGGCCUAAGGAAAUGCAUAUAGUGAGUUGUCAAGAGAGGAAAUCAUAAUCACAUGUAUCACAAUCCGAAUCUUCUAUGAAGAUUGAAACUUGUAGAGAGGAAAUCACAACAUUUACUAUUAAAAACUGAAAAUUGUGCCAUGUUGACUCAAUUAAGUAUUGGUGCUGUCAAUCAAUCUCUUCAAAAACACAAUUGCAAUAACACAACUUAACUGUGCAUUGCAAAUUUUCAUAGCAUAUAAAUAUAACAUUUAAACUCGACAAACAAGAAACCUUUCUUUUCUCGAGUUAAAAAAGGACAGCAAGAGUUUCCUAAUUGCAAUCAAAAUCUUAUUAGAGAUCUGUUGUUUCUUCUUAGCAUGGUAUUUAUGUUUGGCCUAUUUAGUACGAUAACACUAAACAGUUUCCAAUAUGUAAUACAAAUUCAGUGAAGAACUCUAAUAUAUAUCUUUAUAUAUAUUAUCAAAAGUCUAGAAAAAGAAAACUAAUUGAAACUGAGAUUUUCAUAUUCUCUUGAUUAUAGAAUUUUUGUAUGCAUAAUACUAGUACAUAACCUUGAGAACAGCAUGUAUAAGGCACAAAAGAGGCUUAUGUGGCACACUAUUGAAGAGAGAAUUGGGCUUUGCAGUUUGAACUGAGGACAUGCUUUAUAAAAUGGGAAGAAAUAGCUUCAAUAAAAUGAAUAACCCACUUAUGAGAUAAGAACAUUGAAAUAAUCUAUUUUGGUACAUCUCUAAAAAAGGUUCACGAAGUACUUCCAACUAAAACGACCAAUGAAUACUAAGUACAAAAAUGGAAAUGCUUUCUCAAUAUCCAAAUCACACUCGGAAAAAAUUAUUUAUUGUUGUUAGGCUGAAAUUACAUGGACGUGUCAAAAUGUGCCACAAUUUUAAGUGAUAUUCAACGUAGUGUAUGACUUAUCCUGCACACCAGUUUACAAAGACAAACAAACACUUGACGAGAUUCAUCAUUGCAGCUGAAUUUAAUGGCAAGUGAGAACACUAGUAUAUAUAUGAAAGGAAAUUCCUCAAUAUAAGAAGUUCCUACAAAAUUUUCGACAAAAAGAACACCAUCCCCUUCACUUCAAAUAAUUCUACCCUCUAGCAAUUUCCUAUCAUUUAAAGCUAUUCAAUUAGCUACUUACGAGGGUGAUAAUGCAUACAGAACAAUAAUCUGGCCCUAUCUCACAGUCAUAGUGAAAUUUAGAAGUACGCAAUUUGCUACCUUAAAACAGAAGAGGUUAAAUGAGGUUUCCACGAAGAGUUAUCAGUCAUCCCUAAUAACAGCUUGCAACGGGAGAAAAAAUCAUGUUGCAUUAAGUUAAAUAGACACUCAAUAGUCAUUGUUUGUUUGAGAAUUAUGGGCAGCAGGGAUGGACCUAAUCGGAGGAUCAUACUUGUUGAUGGUGUUAUUGGUUUGUAAGACCAACAUAGGUUAUAAUUUGAUAUCACCUAGGUUAUAAUUUGAACAGAGAUCUGGUCUUCUUUAUUUGAUGUUACAUUCUUUAUUAUGAAAAAAGGUUAUACAGAACGUGAAAUUUCUUAGGCGUAAUUAUAUAUGUAACCAUUUAUUGUUCUUGACUUCUUGUAUUUAUAUUUCCUGACUUCUGACAACUAAAUUAUCGCACACCCCCCCCCCCCUCUCUCUCUCUCUCUCCUCUGAACACACACCCCCGAAAUCACAAACCCCGACCAUGUACUGAACACCUUCAGUAUAUGCAUUAUAAAUCCAUUCAGCUUUCCACAGUUGAAAAGGUAAUGAACUCAAUGAGUUUAAUUUGAUAGUUGGUUUAUUAGAAAAACAUAAGAAUACUUUGAUCAAUUUGACGAAAAAAUUAGAGUGGUGUUCAUAUUUAUGUGCAUAAAAAUAGGACAACAAACAUAAGUCCGACAAGAACACUUAAUAAAUUUUGUAGGAUAUUCAACUUUUUAAAAGUAGAGUACUACUUCCCCCGGUGGAAAAAGGUUAACAAAAUAUACUAUACACAUUCAAUCAUUAAGGCUCAGUGUACUGUUACGCCAUCUUAUCUGAAGAGUGAAGAACAAAAAGUAGGGAACAAUGCACAACUCUUACCUGAAACAUGAAUCCUUAUGUAAGUGUAUUGUAACCCAAACUGGUGGUGAAGACAGCAUUACUGAUAAUAUCAGGAUCCAAAAACUGUGUAACGCGGUAGAGGUUCCAGCACCAACCUCUGGAAGUCAUUGGAGUAAGAGUAAGUUGUCCAAGGGAGUUAAGUCUCCGUAGUUGGUUGAGUGAGACAUUUUGUCAAACACUUGGCAGGCUAAAUAGAGACAACACUUGGAAAGGUUCAAGCAACCUCACGAGUACUUGGCCAGUUGGCCGUAAUGC